GACGUAGGGUCCAAGCGUUGUCCGGAUUUACUGGGCGUAAAGAGCGCGUAGGCGGUCUGUUAAGUGAGAAGUGAAAUCUCCAGGGCUCAACCCGGAAACUGCUUUUCAUACUGGCAGACUUGAGGGAUGCAGAGGUGAAUGGAAUUCCUGGUGUAGCGGUGAAAUGCGUUGAUAUCAGGAGGAACACCCAUGGCGAAGGCAGUUCACUGGGCAUCAUCUGACGCUGAGGCGCGAAAGCGUGGGUAGCAAA
Molecule: ribosomal RNA, 250 nt
Filed under: uncultured bacterium
Lineage: Bacteria
Description: partial 16S ribosomal RNA
Rfam family: Bacterial small subunit ribosomal RNA
Source: RNAcentral